CAGUCGACGAUGAUCAGGAGCUUGCUCCUGUGAUUAGUGGCGAACGGGUGACUUUACGUGAGUAACCUGCCCCUGACUCUGGGAUAAGCGUUGGAAACGACGUCUAAUACUGGAUACGACUGCCGGCCGCAUGGUCUGGUGGUGGAAAGAUUUUUUGGUUGGGGAUGGACUCGCGGCCUAUCAGCUUGUUGGUGAGGUAAUGGCUCACCAAGGCGACGACGGGUAGCCGGCCUGAGAGGGUGACCGGCCACACUGGGACUGAGACACGGCCCAGACUCCUACGGGAGGCAGCAGUGGGGAAUAUUGCACAAUGGGCGAAAGCCUGAUGCAGCAACGCCGCGUGAGGGAUGACGGCCUUCGGGUUGUAAACCUCUUUUAGUAGGGAAGAAGCGAAAGUGACGGUACCUGCAGAAAAAGCACCGGCUAACUACGUGCCAGCAGCCGCGGUAAUACGUAGGGUGCAAGCGUUGUCCGGAAUUAUUGGGCGUAAAGAGCUCGUAGGCGGUUUGUCGCGUCUGCUGUGAAAUCCCGAGGCUCAACCUCGGGCUUGCAGUGGGUACGGGCAGACUAGAGUGCGGUAGGGGAGAUUGGAAUUCCUGGUGUAGCGGUGGAAUGCGCAGAUAUCAGGAGGAACACCGAUGGCGAAGGCAGAUCUCUGGGCCGUAACUGACGCUGAGGAGCGAAAGCGUGGGGAGCGAACAGGAUUAGAUACCCUGGUAGUCCACGCCGUAAACGUUGGGCGCUAGAUGUAGGGACCUUUCCACGGUUUCUGUGUC
RNAcentral lists this ribosomal RNA (776 nucleotides) under Curtobacterium sp. 6d. RNAcentral describes it as "bacterial SSU rRNA". It matches the Rfam family "Bacterial small subunit ribosomal RNA", at positions 59 to 847 of the family's 1533-position model. Lineage: Bacteria; Bacillati; Actinomycetota; Actinomycetes; Micrococcales; Microbacteriaceae. The record is from RNAcentral.